UUUUUUUUUUUUCUCUUUUCUGCGUUUUCUCGUUAUCCAGAAUAAGUAUCGGUCGAGGAAGAUUCUCUCCUACUCUCGUUAGACGCACAGGUUGCAGCAGUUCACGAACACCUACCUGAGUGCAGACAGAGUGAGCCUGGGAGAAUGCCAGUCAUAACUGAUGCUUUGAUGAAGUCUAUUGCUUCCAAAGCUAGACCAUCUAUUUCUGAAUAUGAGAAGAAGAGGCCACAUGAUAUUUUAUUAUUUUUACCUAGUUCUUGGAUUCAAAGGAAUCCGCUACAGCUCAGGUCCCUCCCUUUCACUAGUAUCACAUUUCCAUUCACUUGUGUUCUGUUUAUGUUCAGCUUAGUGCUCAGUGCUAAUGAAGUAUUUGUUUGCAGAGGAGGGAUGCAAAAGGCAAAAGGGGAUGGUAAAUAACCAGAAAGAUGGAAUGAAUAGCAGGAUUUUAAGAAAAUUCAAUAAAAAAAAAGGAAAAUUUUCAGGGGUUGUAAUGGCUUUCUGUUUUAAACUCGGCACAUGUACUGCACAGUGCACACAAUGUAUUAAGAGUUCAUUGAAAAUGCUGGCUUAUCCUCUCAGCAACAAUGGAAAUCAAAUUCGAGCAAAACAAAGCAACUCCUUAAACACAAAAACAAUUUCCAGAUGGGACAAAAACUUACAAACUUGAAUAAAACAUCUCAAAAUAAAAUCAAAGCAAAAAGCUACACAUGCGGCGAUGGGCAAAGCACAAGGAUUGCAGUCCAACACACCAUCCAAAGCUAAAUGCAGCAUUUGGCCACACAACACCACUCCAUAAUUUGCCAGCUAUAAAGACCAGUAGCGAUCGAGAUAAGGUACGACGCAAGGUAGAAAUGUUGUUUUAGUAGAAUCAUCCUCCCAUACAACAUCUUUCCACCAUCGUUCCUCUGCUUCAAUCCUAACUUUGCCUCCAUUUGCGCUGCU
This 942-nucleotide unclassified non-coding RNA is filed under the name Hevea brasiliensis (rubber tree). Lineage: Eukaryota; Viridiplantae; Streptophyta; Magnoliopsida; Malpighiales; Euphorbiaceae. The record is from RNAcentral.